Ostertagia ostertagi is the source of this 101-nucleotide non-coding RNA. The record is from the annotation of a GenBank genome assembly. Lineage: Eukaryota; Metazoa; Nematoda; Chromadorea; Rhabditida; Trichostrongylidae.
AAAAUUUUGGAAUGCUUCACGAAUUUGUGUGUCCCUUGCGCAGGGGCCAUGCUAAUCUUCUCUGUAUUGUUCCGAUUUUAGUAUGAUGUUCAGGAAUGAAC